RNAcentral lists this ribosomal RNA (309 nucleotides) under uncultured bacterium. Its description in RNAcentral is "bacterial SSU rRNA". It matches the Rfam family "Bacterial small subunit ribosomal RNA", at positions 28 to 334 of the family's 1533-position model. The record is from RNAcentral.
GAUGAACGCUAGCGGCGGGCCUAAUACAUGCAAGUUGAACGGGAUCCAAGGUGCUUGCACUUUGGUGAGAGUGGCGCACGGGUGCGUAACACGUAUACAAUCUGCCUUUAACUGGAGCAUAGCCCCGAGAAAUCGGGAUUAAUACUCCAUAAAAUAGCACUUAGGCAUCUAAGAACUAUUAAAGCUUCGGCGGUUAAAGAUGAGUAUGCGGAACAUUAGCUUGAUGGUAAGGUAACGGCUUACCAUGGCUACGAUGUUUAGGGGGUCUGAGAGGAUUAUCCCCCACACUGGUACUGAGACACGGACCAG